Molecule: ribosomal RNA, 729 nt
Filed under: Triticum aestivum (bread wheat)
Lineage: Eukaryota; Viridiplantae; Streptophyta; Magnoliopsida; Poales; Poaceae
Description: partial small subunit ribosomal RNA
Source: RNAcentral
AUGUUGAUACACCUAGUCCUUCUAAGAAGAAGAAAAAGAAAAAUGAUAGGACUUUGCAUGCUUCUAGUGAACCUGUUGUUGACACACCUGAGAAUCCCAAUGAUAUUUCUAUUUCUGAUGCUGAAACACAAUCUGGUAAUGAACAUGAACCUAGUGAUAAUGUUAAUGAUGAUGUAUAUUGAUGCUCAACCUAGCAAUAACAAUGAUGUAGAGAUUGAACCUGUUGUUGAUCUUGAUAACCCACAAUCAAAGAAUCAACGUUAUGAUAAGAGAGACUUCGUUGCUAGGAAGCACGGUAAAGAAAGAGAACCAUGGGUUCAGAAACCCAUGCCCUUUCCUCCUAAACCAUCCAAGAAAAAGGAUGAUGAGGAUUUUGAGCGCUUUGCUGAAAUGAUUAGACAUAUCUUUUUGCGUAUGCGUUUGACUGAUAUGCUUAAAAUGAAUCCUUAUGCUAAGUAUAUGAAGGAUAUUGUCACAAAUAAAAGAAAGAUACCGGAAGCUGAAAUUUCCACCAUGCUUGCUAAUUAUACUUUUAAAGGUGGAAUACCAAAGAAACUAGAAGAUCCCGGAGUACCAACUAUACCAUGCUCCAUUAAGAGAAACUAUGUUAAAACUGCUUUAUGUGAUCUUGGAGCCGGUGUUAGUGUUAUGCCUCUCUCUUUAUAUCGUAGACUUGAUUUGAAUAAGUUGACACCUACUGAAAUAUCUUUGAAAAUGGCCGAUAAAUGA